Long non-coding RNA from Equus caballus (horse), 1592 nucleotides. NCBI's taxonomy places the organism in Eukaryota, Metazoa, Chordata, Mammalia, Perissodactyla, Equidae. The record is from Ensembl.
AGAUGUCAUUCUUUUUCCCAUAUCAUCCUGCAUUCAUCCUUCUCAGAGGCAACUACUGUUAGCAAUUUCUUAAACAUCCAACCAGAAAACUUUCUCUGUGUGUACUAACACAUACACGCAAACACGUACCGCUGCUCAAAAUAGGUGCUUUCUUAACCAAACCUCCACUUAGCUGACUCAUAAGAUUAACCAACACUCUUCAUUCUCUCUGUUUAGCACGCAGUGAAUACUUACAGCAUCCACAUGUCUGCUUCCACCAGUACAUGUGGGACGCCUGCCACAGCACUGCUUGAUGAGUGCUGUAUAGGUCUGCACCUGGGAUCUGAACUGGCGAACCCCAGGCAGAAGCAGAGUGUGCGAACGUACCCACUAUGCACCAGGCCGGCCCCCAUGUCUUUCUUUUUUAAUUGACCCAGGACUUCUCCAUGAAGACUUUCUAGACUUGUCUAUUCAAAGCCAACAGUGAACUUCUCCUGAAAAAGGGUUAUAUCAAUUUUAACUUUGUAUCCAAAGCAUGAGAACAAUGUGCUCCUGGAACAUAGUUUCUUCUGAGAUUUGUUGAUGAAUAAAGGAAAAGAAAUAACUGGAUAGGAAAGCUGUUCAUUUGUUUACCUUGUCAUCUUAACAGUCUGUUCAAAUAAUUUUGCCCAAUAUUUUUCAUUAUAUAACAACUAACCCUUAAGGACGUCUCCCAAGCCCAAACUAUCUCAAAAUAAUUAAAAUCGCAAUUGAAUUUAGGGAUGAGCUUAGUAUAGAAAUAGCCGCAGUAGUUGUUUCUAUUUGCUUGAACUCCACAAUGAGCUGUUUCAUGCUUCUUCACAUUUGAGAUAAUACUUCAAAUUUAUACCCACAAUGAAAUAAAGGCUUAAAAAUAAUCUGAUAUGACUUUUGAACCAUAAAAUUACUAGACUGGGUGGAGGGCUCAUUUUCUUCACAAAUUCAUUGUUCAUUUGGUACUCAUUCAUGCAAAUGUUGUAAUCUGUUUUAAAACCACUUCUAAGCUUUAAGAAAAAAAGAAAUAUAUAUAUAGUCAUGUAAACGAGGCUCUGGAAACUCUGCCUUCUGUUAAUCUUAAUAUCCUGAUGCAUUUUAUUCUGAAUAUUUUUAAGUUAUUUACUGCCAAAAAUAAUAUUAACACUUAUUCAAUAUCACUGUUUCAUGGCACCAGGCCUCAUGUGUAUCUAAAUACCUUUUUAAUCUUAUUCUUCGCUUGUAUAGAAUAUUUUAUUUCAAGGCCUGAAAUUUAUUUUUCUCAUGGAAUAAAAACAUCUUUGUUUGCUCUUUACUAUUUAAUUACAUUUUUCCUAUUCCAUACAAUUGUCAUCUAAUUGCAUUUGUUUCUGAUUGCUAAUCCAGUUAUGUUAGCAAGAAGAUGAAAUCUAUAGGAUAUUCUGGUUUGUGUAAUAAGCAAAAAUUGUCAAGUGUUGUGUGCUUCUGUCACAGAGAGACUGAUCUGCUAAAAAAAAUCUUUAUAAGUUAAGUUUAUUUUUUAUAGGUAAAAACAGUAAAGAGAGAAAUGGAGAAAACAAGUUAGCGAUCUAGAAUGAAUUCUCUCUAUUAAGGAAUAAGAAUAAAACUUUCAUAGAACUUAC